Long non-coding RNA from Serinus canaria (Common canary), 3233 nucleotides. RefSeq lists it as uncharacterized. The transcript has 2 exons. The record is from RefSeq and is a predicted model, not a curated record. Lineage: Eukaryota; Metazoa; Chordata; Aves; Passeriformes; Fringillidae.
AGUCCCGCUACCAGGAGCUGCUGCUGGUUUUGGGCCUCAUGAUCCGGUACUGCGCUGCUGCGGUAGGCCAGGCCUCGUGCCCACCAGCCCCAGCCCAGCCUCGCACUGACUGCCCUCUGCUUUGGUGAGGGCACAUAGGGCCACUGCCGUGCUGUCAGGGAAACCAGACAAUAUUAACAGAGCCUGGGGACUGAACAGAUCGAGAGCAGCCCUGCCAAGAAGGACUUGGAAAUGCUGGUGGACUCAAGGCUUAACAUGAGCCAUCAAUGCUCAGUUAAAGCCCAGAAAGCCAAACAUGGCCUGGGCUGCAUCCAAAGCUGUGUGGGCUGCGUGGGAGGCAUAGGAUUCUGCUCCUGCACUCUGGUGAGGCUCCACCUCCAGUACUGCAUCUCUCUGGGGUGCCAGCACAGGAAGGACAUUGACCUGUUGGAGCAAGUCCAGAGAAGGCCACCAAAUUGAUGAGAGGUACAGAGACCUCUCCUAUGAGGAAAGGCUUUACAGAUUUGGGAUUGUUCAGCUUGGAAAAGACAAGAUUUUCAUAGUAACCUAAUUCCAAGCUUUCAGUAGGUGAAGGGAACUUCCAGUGGGAUGUCGCAGAACUGCUGGACACAGCCCUACCCGAGCAAUGGAGUCACGGUGGCUGGAGAAAACAGCUCUGAAGCACAGCACCUCCAUGAGCUGCGGUUUCACUCGCCUCAGAAUUUGCAUAUGAAAAUCUCUGAAUGGAAAGGUGACAUAGUGUAAUGAAAAGUAAUGCAGUUUUCUCAUGUUUUUUUGUCUAUAGCGCGGUCUCACCCUGGCCAAUAAUUAAGAACGAUCCCGACUUUGAAUUUGGGUUUUUUUUCAGGUUUUCUGUCCAUUAUUCCCUUAAUUUAAAAACUCCAAAAAGAACGAAAAAAACCCAACCAACCAACCCACCAAAAGUUAAAAAAAGAAAACCAAGCACAAAACGAACAAAAGCCAAUCAAAGACCCAAAAAAAAAAAAAAAAACCAAAAAAACCCCCCCCCCAAAAAAAAAAAAAAAAAAAAAAAAAACCUCCACCAAAGUAUGACCAUUUAGUAAAACAUGAAAAUAUUUCUGGUGAUUUUUGAAGAUAAAUAAUAGGAAAGUACUUAAACAUGUAAUCUAUAUCUCAACUUUUUCAGGCCAUUCUUUUUUCAGAUGAAUGAGUGAAGUGUCCCUCUCCUUGUGAGCUUAAGCGCUAAAGAUUUGAGUACUGUGUUUAUCCUGGAAAAUAUUCUAUUCAUUUUAACUAGUAUCUUUAGCCUUGAGAUGCUUACAGAGUGGUUUGGAAUCUUAGAGAAGUAAAGACAAAAACUCAUUAGUAAUUAAAUAAUUGCUGUUUAGUGAUUAUGUCAUUAAAUCAUUUUGUUAUUAUAGUUUAGUAGUUAAACAAUUACUAAACUGUGCCCUUCUGCCAAGGAAGGAUGAAAGAAGAGAGAAAGAAAUAUUCUUAAUAUUAGGCGGAAAACAGAGCUAAAGGAUAGGAACCAGAGUUAAACUUAUUUGAAGCAAAGUGACUGGGAAACAGUCCAUUGACUUGGAACACACAUUUUCAGCUACUAAUUUACCUACUGAGAAAUCAUUGCAGGUGUUUAUGUUCCUUCUAAAGCAAGAUAAACAGAAAGAAAAUAUGAAGAUUGCAAGAUAAAACAUUGAAAAAUUGCAAAGUAACAAAAUCACCAUUCACUCUGUACAUUUUUGUAGUAAAAUUUGUGCAUUCCAGUGGUGCACAGUUGCAUACUGUCUGUUCUGCAAAGCCCUAAGUCCUUGGACAGAUUGGUGUGAAUGUCUCACACCAUCCCACAAAGGUAUAGGAACAAACCAGAGUUUAUCAAGUGAAAAUUAAUAAUCAUUCAUUCAUAACUCUAAAACACAAAUAAUAAAGGAUAGGAAAUAGUCCCCAUAAUCAGGAAAGAAUUACUGGGAAAUCUGCAAACAUAUGAUGCACUCUAAAGAAAAACUUAGCAGGAGCUGAUAGGAGAGAGCAAUUGAAUUUCAUGCAGUUGGGCAGCAUUCAUGCAUUGUUGACUGUAGCAGUGCAGCUAAGCUUGAAAGUUGACUAGUCUGAAUUACUUCAUCUGUUAUUACAGUCUACUGGCCUGGGACUCAGUUGCUAAAGAGCCAUUCCUUCAUCUAUAGAAAGGUAUUGACAGCAAUCUCUCAUCAGUUUCUGGGUUUUGCCUUAAAAAGCACAAUCUGUGCCAGAGAAAUUGAUUGAUUGCCAUAUUCUUCAGCGAUACAAACUGCUUCUAUUGCUUGUUGCAGGUUAAAAAAAUUGGAGGAAGCACUACUAAACUACUGUGACAAAUACACCUAAUGAGGAUUUUUUUUUUUUUUUUUUUUUUAAAUUUUAAACUCUCCUAAACUCCAUGUUGUGUCUAGUCACUAUUUGAACGAUCUGGGAGUCAGAGGGCAGAGUCUAGUCCUAAUUUUGCAUGUCAGUAAAACACGUGGAGCAGAGUGGGGAUGUCUUGCUCAUUAGCACUGAAGUUUGGAUUUGUUUAAUAUUGUUUGUUAUUCUUUGAGGCACUAGACACAGACAGCAAGUACCAACCGGUAUGACAUUGCAACUGGAGCUGCUGCCAAAGCUUCAUUAGAAUAGAUAUGUUCAGAUGGGAAGCCUGUAACUAUGAAUGCACAAACAGAUACUAAAUGAACAUCUGCAACACAAACAUUAUUCAACACAUGUAUGGUUUACUCAUUUAUUCCAUAAGGUACGCUUGUAAAAUUGAUUGCAUUUACUCUGCUGUGGUUUGUUCUUACAGUAUCAUACCUUCAGGAAUUUGGCACAAGUAUAAACACUGAGGGGUGAUCUAAUGUGUUUAUAACAUUAUUUUGUACUGCUUGUUAGGCACAUGUAACGUGUUUAUAGUGUCCUUUUCAAGACAGUAUGAAAAGUCUCAAGUAUGCAGCCCUGAAGAAAGCAUAAGCUUCCAGUCUUUGGAAGUAUGCUUCUGUAAAUGAAGAAGAAAACCCCAACCCAAACUAUAAUUUACCUUUUUAAACACUUCCAACAUAUCAUUAUGCAGAAUAAUAAUAAAAAAUUAGCAUCUAGGAGAGCCAGUGUCUCAUCAGCAUGUAUGUAUUUCUCCUGUCAACAUUACCUAACUCAGGAGGUGAAAACACAGUCUAAACUGAUUAAAGUGAAAAGAAAUGUGUGAUUUGGAUGAGCUUUAUCAGAGUGAAAAUGGCUACAGAGCAAUCACUAUUAAAAAUCCAGUUUGUUCA